RNAcentral lists this ribosomal RNA (263 nucleotides) under uncultured bacterium. RNAcentral's name for it is "partial 16S ribosomal RNA". It matches the Rfam family "Bacterial small subunit ribosomal RNA", at positions 512 to 774 of the family's 1533-position model. The record is from RNAcentral.
CAGCCGCGGUAAUACGUAGGUGGCGAGCGUUGUCCGGAUUUAUUGGGUUUAAAGGGUGCGUAGGCGUCCCUUCAAGUUUUAGGUGAAAUGCCCAAGCUCAACUUGGGAGCUGCCUGAAAAACUGCAGGGAUUGAGUACAGAUGAGGUAGGCGGAAUUGACGGUGUAGCGGUGAAAUGCAUAGAUAUCGUCAAGAACACCGAUAGCGAAGGCAGCUUACUAGGCUGUAACUGACGCUGAUGCACGAAAGUGUGGGGAUCAAACA